Molecule: long non-coding RNA, 574 nt
Organism: Suricata suricatta (meerkat)
Lineage: Eukaryota; Metazoa; Chordata; Mammalia; Carnivora; Herpestidae
Exons: 5
Source: RefSeq, a predicted model, not a curated record
GGGGGGGAGUGUGAGAGAAUCCAGAUUUUCAUGGGAAGACAGUAGGCCACAUAUUAGGGUUUGUGGACGACCUCAUCAAUAAGUUGCACUCUGGGCUGUAAGACAGGAAAGGAAACUGAGACCAAAAAAACAUCAGAAUUCUGCUGAGAUGUCUACUCAGUUGUUGGAUAACAGCUGCAUUCUCUUCCUCCUUGUACUCUGCUAGACAACAUUUCUCAGAUCUUCUGCUGUUACAUGGAGACAUGUGACAGAGUUGUGGCCAAUGCACUCCAAUUUGAUACAGCUAAAAUGAAGUACCUGUUGAUGCAAAGGAGAACUCCAAAUGGAAAAAAAAGCAAGUACAGACUCAGGAGAUAUCCCCAACCCAACCCAAGUGUGUGCCUCACUCUACCUCUCAACACUUCCCUACCCCAUCCCUGAAUAGAGACAACAAGAUAUAGGCAAAGCUUGUUUCGAUUUCAGAAGCACUAUCCCUUAUAAUAAGGAACUCACCUGAAACAGAAAAACCUGAUAAAUAGUUAUCUUUUCUAGUGGAGCUCAAACUUCAGAACAAACAUCUUCGGGUUUUUGAUGU